GGAAUAUUGCACAAUGGGCGCAAGCCUGAUGCAGCCAUGCCGCGUGUAUGAAGAAGGCCUUCGGGUUGUAAAGUACUUUCAGCAGUGAGGAAGGAGGUAUCGUUAAUAGCGGUAUCUUUUGACGUUAGCUGCAGAAGAAGCACCGGCUAACUCCGUGCCAGCAGCCGCGGUAAUACGGAGGGUGCGAGCGUUAAUCGGAAUUACUGGGCGUAAAGCGCAUGCAGGUGGUUUGUUAAGUCAGAUGUGAAAGCCCGGGGCUCAACCUCGGAAUUGCAUUUGAAACUGGCAGGCUAGAGUACUGUAGAGGGGGGUAGAAUUUCAGGUGUAGCGGUGAAAUGCGUAGAGAUCUGAAGGAAUACCGGUGGCGAAGGCGGCCCCCUGGACAGAUACUGACACUCAGAUGCGAAAGCGUGGGGAGCAA
This 421-nucleotide ribosomal RNA is filed under the name uncultured bacterium. RNAcentral describes it as "bacterial SSU rRNA". It matches the Rfam family "Bacterial small subunit ribosomal RNA", at positions 358 to 771 of the family's 1533-position model. The record is from RNAcentral.